GGCAUCCUGUUGUGUGCAAGGUAAGACCCACCAGCCUUGCUUUGAUUGGAAGCAAGGUGAAGUCUGGAGAGUCUGACAGUUGAAUUCUGAGAUGGAGCUGGUUCCAAGCAUGAUCGUGGAUGAGAAUCUGUUGAUGGAAAAUCAAUGGCAACCCCUGGUCUGACUGCGAGGGUGUUCCUUUGAGUGGCUCAUGGUCUCCUGCCAUAUUCCCACCUCCUAAGAUAACUCAGACACUUAAAGGGUCUUAAGGGAUCAUAUUUGUACCCCUCCUUAGGCCCACACUCUAGUACACCCCAAGACCACACUCUACUAUACCCCAAGAUACUAUUUUCAACAGUGUCUCACACAAAGAUCCCAGCUGUUUUCUUUCUGACAUCCUGUAGGGACAUUGCUCUUGCUAAAGCUUUGAUCUUCAGGCAGCAGGCUGGUAAAGACUGGUGCCUCUGCUGCCUGUGUGACCCUAGGCUGGGGCUACCAAGGAGACUCCCGGGACUACAUUCAGCAAGAGACAUUUUUACAUGGAUGGUGCUUAGAGCAGGAGAUGACACUCAAGCCCUAACAUACCGGAUGGAAGAGGGACACAGAGGUCUCCUUGAUGGAAGAGGCUUCUUCUGAUUGACAGAGAAAUUGGACCAGAACCAGAGACCUACAAGCAGGUGGACUAAGAGGAACAAGAGAAAAUGUCUGCUGAUCCAGGUGAAGAUCAGCCAUUGAGGAUAUGCUCAGAGAGCUGGGCCCAAAAUUGCUCUGCAGACCUGUUAUCAAGAAAGACAGGCACCUGGACAAAAAGAUAUAUGGCACAAAUAUCUCUGAAUAAAGAGACUGUUUUCUUACUACAAUAAACUUCUUUGUAUAUUUGAACCACA
Peromyscus leucopus (white-footed mouse) is the source of this 866-nucleotide long non-coding RNA. RefSeq lists it as uncharacterized. The transcript is spliced from 3 exons. The record is from RefSeq and is a predicted model, not a curated record. Lineage: Eukaryota; Metazoa; Chordata; Mammalia; Rodentia; Cricetidae.